Molecule: ribosomal RNA, 440 nt
Filed under: uncultured bacterium
Lineage: Bacteria
Description: partial 16S ribosomal RNA
Rfam family: Bacterial small subunit ribosomal RNA
Source: RNAcentral
CCUACGGGUGGCAGCAGUAGGGAAUAUUGCUCAAUGGGGGGAACCCUGAAGCAGCAACGCCGCGUGGAGGAUGAAGGUUUUCGGAUUGUAAACUCCUUUUGUCAGAGAAGAUAAUGACGGUAUCUAACGAAUAAGCCCCGGCUAACUCCGUGCCAGCAGCCGCGGUAAUACGGAGGGUGCAAGCGUUACUCGGAAUCACUGGGCGUAAAGGGCGCGUAGGCGGGAUAGCAAGUCAGAUGUGAAAUCCUAUGGCUUAACCAUAGAACUGCAUUUGAAACUGUUAUUCUAGAGUAUGGGAGAGGUAGGUGGAAUUCCUGGUGUAGCGGUAAAAUGCGUAGAGAUCAAGAGGAAUACUGAUGGCGAAGGCGACCUGCUAGAACAUGACUGACGCUGAGGCGCGAAAGCGUGGGGAGCAAACAGGAUUAGAUACCCGAGUAGUC